AUUGAACGCUGGCGGCAGGCCUAACACAUGCAAGUCGAGCGAGCGGCGGACGGGUGAGUAAUGUAUGGGGAUCUGCCUGAUGGCGGGGGAUAACUACUGGAAACGGUAGCUAAUACCGCAUACCAUCAGAUGUGCCCAUAUGGGAUUAGCUAGUAGGUGAGGUAACGGCUUACCUAGGCGACGAUCCCUAGCUGGUCUGAGAGGAUGACCAGCCACACUGGAACUGAGACAAGGCCCAGAAUACUACGGGAGGCAGCAGUGGGGAAGAUUGCACAAUGGGCGCAAGCCUGAUGCAGCCAUGCCGCGUGUAUGAAGAAGGCCUUCGGGUUGUAAAGUACUUUCAGCGGGGAGGCGUUACCGGCAGAAGAAGCACCGGCUAACUCCGUGCCAGCAGCCGCGGUAAUUC
Molecule: ribosomal RNA, 406 nt
Filed under: uncultured bacterium
Lineage: Bacteria
Description: partial 16S ribosomal RNA
Rfam family: Bacterial small subunit ribosomal RNA
Source: RNAcentral